CGCACAUUGCGCCCGCCGGCAUCCCGGCGGGCAUGCCUGUUCGAGCGUCAUUUCAACCCUCAGGCCCAGCCUGGUGAUGGGGCGCCGCUCCGCGCGGCCCCCGAAAAGCAGUGGCGGGCUCGCUGUGAACCCGGGCGUAGUAGCACACCUCGCCCUGGGAGCACGGCGGCACCCUGCCGUUAAACACCCCACAAACACAAGGUUGACCUCGGAUCAGGUAGGAAUACCCGCUGAACUUAAGCAUAUCAAUAAGCGGAGGAAAAGAAACCAACAGGGAUUGCCUCAGUAACGGCGAGUGAAGCGGCAACAGCUCAAAUUUGAAAGCUGGCCUCACGGCCCGCGUUGUAAUUUGCAGAGGAUGAUUCGGGCGAGGCCCCUUCUGAGUCCCCUGGAACGGGGCGCCACAGAGGGUGAGAGCCCCGUAUAGCAGGCGGCCGAGCCCAUGUGAAUCUCCUUCGACGAGUCGAGUAGUUUGGGAAUGCUGCUCUAAAUGGGAGGUAAAUUCCUUCUAAAGCUAAAUACCGGCCAGAGACCGAUAGCGCACAAGUAGAGUGAUCGAAAGAUGAAAAGCACUUUGAAAAGAGGGUUAAAUAGCACGUGAAAUUGCUGAAAGGGAAGCGCUCCUGACCAGACGCGCGCCGGGCGGAUCAUCCAGCGUUCUCGCUGGUGCACUCCGCCCGGCGCGGGCCAGCAUCGGUUCUCGUGGGGGGACAAAGCCGCCGGAAAGUAGCUCCCUC
Molecule: ribosomal RNA, 737 nt
Filed under: Sordariomycetes sp. genotype 131
Lineage: Eukaryota; Fungi; Ascomycota; Sordariomycetes
Description: eukaryotic LSU rRNA
Rfam family: Eukaryotic large subunit ribosomal RNA (bases 204-737)
Source: RNAcentral